This 467-nucleotide ribosomal RNA is filed under the name uncultured bacterium. Its description in RNAcentral is "partial 16S ribosomal RNA". The stretch from base 20 to 329 matches the Rfam family "Bacterial small subunit ribosomal RNA", at positions 47 to 358 of the family's 1533-position model. The record is from RNAcentral.
GACGAACGCUGGCGGCGUGCUUAACACAUGCAAGUCGAACGGAAAGGCCCUGCUUUUGUGGGGUGCUCGAGUGGCGAACGGGUGAGUAACACGUGAGUAACCUGCCCUUGACUUUGGGAUAACUUCAGGAAACUGGGGCUAAUACCGGAUAGGAGCUCCUGCUGCAUGGUGGGGGUUGGAAAGUUUCGGCGGUUGGGGAUGGACUCGCGGCUUAUCAGCUUGUUGGUGGGGUAGUGGCUUACCAAGGCUUUGACGGGUAGCCGGCCUGAGAGGGUGACCGGCCAAAUGGGGAGGGAGAUAGGCCCCAAACACAGUGGGGGGGGAGGGGGGGGGAGGAAUGAAAAAGGGGCGGAGGACGGAGUGAGCAAGCCCGGGGGCGGGAGGGAGGCCGGGGGGAUGGAAACCGAUUUCGCCUGGGAGGAAGGGUGAGGAAAGGAAAGGGGGAAAAAAGCCCCGGCAAAUCCGGG